This 127-nucleotide small RNA is filed under the name Marmota monax (woodchuck). Lineage: Eukaryota; Metazoa; Chordata; Mammalia; Rodentia; Sciuridae. The record is from RNAcentral.
GCCAGGCCUGGUGGCACAUGCCUGUAAUCCCAGCAACUCAGGAGGCUGAGGUAGGAGGAUCUCAAGUUCAAAGCCAGCCUCAGCAACUGAGCAAGGCCUUAAGUAACUCAGUGAGACCCUGUCUCUA